AUACGUAGGUGGCAAGCGUUGUCCGGAAUUAUUGGGCGUAAAGCGCGCGCAGGUGGUUCCUUAAGUCUGAUGUGAAAGCCCCCGGCUCAACCGGGGAGGGUCAUUGGAAACUGGGGAACUUGAGUGCAGAAGAGGAUAGUGGAAUUCCAAGUGUAGCGGUGAAAUGCGUAGAGAUUUGGAGGAACACCAGUGGCGAAGGCGACUGUCUGGUCUGUAACUGACACUGAGGCGCGAAAGCGUGGGGAGCAAACAGGAUUAGAUACCCUGGUAGUCCACGCCGUAAACGAUGAGUGCUAAGUGUUGGGGGGUUUCCGCCCCUCAGUGCUGCAGCUAACGCAUUAAGCACUCCGCCUGGGGAGUACGGUCGCAAGACUGAGACUCAAAUGAAUUGACGGGG
Molecule: ribosomal RNA, 397 nt
Filed under: uncultured bacterium
Lineage: Bacteria
Description: partial 16S ribosomal RNA
Rfam family: Bacterial small subunit ribosomal RNA
Source: RNAcentral